This 449-nucleotide ribosomal RNA is filed under the name uncultured bacterium. RNAcentral describes it as "partial 16S ribosomal RNA". It matches the Rfam family "Bacterial small subunit ribosomal RNA", at positions 354 to 795 of the family's 1533-position model. The record is from RNAcentral.
GUGGGGAAUAUUGGACAAUGGGCGAAAGCCUGAUCCAGCCAUGCCGCGUGUGUGAAGAAGGUCUUCGGAUUGUAAAGCACUUUAAGUUGGGAGGAAGGGCAGUAAGUUAAUACCUUGCUGUUUUGACGUUACCGACAGAAUAAGCACCGGCUAACUCUGUGCCAGCAGCCGCGGUAAUACAGAGGGUGCAAGCGUUAAUCGGAAUUACUGGGCGUAAAGCGCGCGUAGGUGGUUCGUUAAGUUGGAUGUGAAAGCCCCGGGCUCAACCUGGGAACUGCAUCCAAAACUGGCGAGCUAGAGUACGGUAGAGGGUGGUGGAAUUUCCUGUGUAGCGGUGAAAUGCGUAGAUAUAGGAAGGAACACCAGUGGCGAAGGCGACCACCUGGACUGAUACUGACACUGAGGUGCGAAAGCGUGGGGAGCAAACAGGAUUAGAUACCCGGGUAGUC